UACGUAUGUGACAAGCGUUGUCCGGAUUUACUGGGCGUAAAGAGCGCGCAGGCGGUCGUUCAAGUCGAGUGUGAAAGCCCCCGGCUCAACUGGGGAGGGUCAUUCGAUACUGAUCGACUCGAAGGCAGGAGAGGGUAGUGGAAUUCCCGGUGUAGUGGUGAAAUGCGUAGAUAUCGGGAGGAACACCAGUGGCGAAGGCGACUACCUGGCCUGUUCUUGACGCUGAGGCGCGAAAGCUAGGGGAGCAAACGGG
RNAcentral lists this ribosomal RNA (253 nucleotides) under uncultured bacterium. RNAcentral describes it as "partial 16S ribosomal RNA". It matches the Rfam family "Bacterial small subunit ribosomal RNA", at positions 524 to 776 of the family's 1533-position model. The record is from RNAcentral.